CUCCAUGAGAGUAAGAUUAAUUGUAUUCAACCCUAAAUUAUGGUUUGUGAAACUCACUAUAUGAAAUAAAAAUUCUUGGGACUAGACCUGAUAUUAUGUUGAGUUUUAAAUCAAGUAAUUAUUACUAUUAAGUCAGUAAUUCACCACUAACAGAAAAGCCACAAAUUACUGAGAAGGAAUUUGAUCCUGAGCCAUGAUAGGAGAAGAUCUUUGUCUUUGAAAAAGCCAAGAGGACAGCACAGAUAAAGAUUUUAGCAGUGAUAUCUAAAGAAUCUUGGAAUCAAAGAAGCCAAUUUUUUAAAGAAGAGUCUUAUCUCUGGAAAUCUAAAAGAAGACAUUUUUGGAGAACAAACAACCACACAGGACAUCUGAAACCUAAGAUAAAAAUUGUAGACAAUGAGGAUGGGCUACAAAAAUGCAAAAAAAAAAAGAAUUAGAAUUUAGACUUGAUGAUUUAAGUGAUGAAGACUCUCCAUCCAUGGGAUACACCCAGGUCAGCUUGAAAUUUCUCAAUGAAGUUGUUAACAUAAACAGAAAAGUCAUACCAUCUGACUAUGGCAUGUCCAGAUCUUCCAGCACUCGUUCAAAUGUUAGUACAGAUUAAAAAUUGGGUCUAUACAAAAUCCUGGCAGGCCACUCCAUGCAACAAGCAGAGGUUUAGACACUUUGAAAAUCCAUAUACACUGGGCAGAGGCUUCAAAGAGAAAUAAGAAGCUCCAGUUCUACACCACACAUGGAAGAGGAAUCUAUAAAAAAUGAAAAUAUAUGGGAGUGCUGAAAACCAGUUUUGAGCAAAAGGACUAAAGGAGACUAAUACAUUAAGCUAAGGAUGCAAGAUCCCUAAAUUGUCUGCUAGGAAGCCAAUGCCUUUUAGUCUUGGACUUUGAAAAAUAGAUACAAUUCCUAUAUCUGAGAAAGACAAGGAAAAGACUAUUUUCCACUUGCCCAGGGAUUUACAUGUUAACUAACCAAUGGAAAGGCAACUUAUAAUGAGUAAUUGACAGAUUAGCAACAUACCUGUUCACAAGGAGACCCAUAAAAUGGAGGGAAGCCUAUUAGGAGAGUUCACCAAUACCACCUAUUAUCCAUGAGAGAAUUAAUUGUACUUUCUAAUGAAUAUGUGGGAAAAAAAACUGAUGGACACACACCUAGGAAAUGUCUCAGAAAAGAGAUUGUCUACUAAUUGUACAAGGACCUUCUGAUAUCCAGGCAUCCGGGGAAGGAAACUGCAUUAUUACAGAGCAGGAGGACUAAAUUCAGAGGCAGCACCUUUUCUAACCAAAACUACUACAGAGACUCCCAUGGUAAAGGUUCAACCCACAGAAUAAGAGCAUACUGGCUUCCAGUCUGGUAUAAACACACAAGUCGAUAAUAAUCUUGAUGGUCAGUCCAUAUCAAGCCCUAGAAGAGAGAUCAAUCAGUGACAGAAGAAUGAAGCCUCUUAGAACAGUCAUUAAACUAAGUUAUUAUAGUUAAUGUAAAUUUGAACAUACAGUUAACUGGUCCCUAGGCAAUAUUAGAGAGGGCUCAUGUGAAAUGAGCAUUGAGUAUAAUUGCUAAUAAUUAUUGCUAGACAUGUGAAUUACUGCAUGUCGGUGGACCUUUGUUGUUUUUUAUUCUGUUGUUAAAUUAACUUGACUAUAUUUUGCAUGAUGUUCAUGCUCUAAUAAAGUCUAUUUAUAUUCAAAUAUAUCCUAUUGC
Molecule: long non-coding RNA, 1701 nt
Filed under: Monodelphis domestica (gray short-tailed opossum)
Lineage: Eukaryota; Metazoa; Chordata; Mammalia; Didelphimorphia; Didelphidae
Description: lncRNA (ENSMODG00000050627.1)
Source: RNAcentral